GAUGAACGCUAGCUACAGGCUUAACACAUGCAAGUCGAGGGGAAACGACAUCGAAAGCUUGCUUUUGAUGGGCGUCGACCGGCGCACGGGUGAGUAACGCGUAUCCAACCUGCCCACCACUUGGGGAUAACCUUGCGAAAGUAAGACUAAUACCCAAUGAUAUCUCUAGAAGACAUCUGAAAGAGAUUAAAGAUUUAUCGGUGAUGGAUGGGGAUGCGUCUGAUUAGCUUGUUGGCGGGGUAACGGCCCACCAAGGCAACGAUCAGUAGGGGUUCUGAGAGGAAGGUCCCCCACAUUGGAACUGAGACACGGUCCAAACUCCUACGGGAGGCAGCAGUGAGGAAUAUUGGUCAAUGGACGAGAGUCUGAACCAGCCAAGUAGCGUGCAGGAUGACGGCCCUAUGGGUUGUAAACUGCUUUUAUAAGGGAAUAAAGUGAGUCUCGUGAGACUUUUUGCAUGUACCUUAUGAAUAAGGACCGGCUAAUUCCGUGCCAGCAGCCGCGGUAAUACGGAAGGUCCGGGCGUUAUCCGGAUUUAUUGGGUUUAAAGGGAGCGUAGGCCGGAGAUUAAGCGUGUUGUGAAAUGUAGACGCUCAACGUCUGCACUGCAGCGCGAACUGGUUUCCUUGAGUACGCACAAAGUGGGCGGAAUUCGUGGUGUAGCGGUGAAAUGCUUAGAUAUCACGAAGAACUCCGAUUGCGAAGGCAGCUCACUGGAGCGCAACUGACGCUGAAGCUCGAAAGUGCGGGUAUCGAACAGGAUUAGAUACCCUGGUAGUCCGCACGGUAAACGAUGGAUGCCCGCUGUUGGUCUGAAUAGGUCAGCGGCCAAGCGAAAGCAUUAAGCAUCCCACCUGGGGAGUACGCCGGCAACGGUGA
This 879-nucleotide ribosomal RNA is filed under the name uncultured bacterium. Its description in RNAcentral is "bacterial SSU rRNA". It matches the Rfam family "Bacterial small subunit ribosomal RNA", at positions 28 to 897 of the family's 1533-position model. The record is from RNAcentral.